CCAACUUUCACCUUGAACCCGGAACAGAAAACCCUUGUAACAAUAAAAAAAAAAUACUUGAUCAUCUUCAUUAAAAUUAGUAUAUGGGAAAAAAAUUUAAAUUGUGAAAGAGAAAAAAGAUAAAGGAAAAGUUAAUAUACCUGUAUGUUGAAAAAGUUGCAAGAAUGAAUGGGGAAAAAUCAAUUGAGUAUUGAAGAGUCUUGAAUGGUGUGUUCAGUUCUGAGAGUGUUGUGAAGAAUAGAGAGAAAGUGGGGUUUUUGGUUUUACCCUUUGGUUUGCAGAAUCAGCAGAAAUAAUGGCAGAGAGAGAGAGAGAGAGAGUUGGAAUGACGAAAAAAGACACGCUUUGAAAGCUGUCCGAACGAACCUAACUUGUGUUGCGUUUGGCUUUGGAAAUUUAAAACGUCUCGAG
Molecule: long non-coding RNA, 411 nt
Filed under: Trifolium pratense (red clover)
Lineage: Eukaryota; Viridiplantae; Streptophyta; Magnoliopsida; Fabales; Fabaceae
Description: long non-coding RNA (TPRA_LNC012339)
Source: RNAcentral